Triticum aestivum (bread wheat) is the source of this 658-nucleotide long non-coding RNA. RefSeq lists it as uncharacterized. NCBI's taxonomy places the organism in Eukaryota, Viridiplantae, Streptophyta, Magnoliopsida, Poales, Poaceae. The transcript is spliced from 2 exons. The record is from RefSeq and is a predicted model, not a curated record.
CACACGGAGAAUGAAUGGAAAUAGAUAAUGCGUGUGCGCAAUCAGUGGCUUGUGGCGCACAAAUGAUCGGAUGACAACACGCCCGGUCGUACACGGGGCAUGCCAUACCUUAAGCCUUAAAUCCCGGCGGAAGAGCUUUACACCGGUACCGCCGCCCAUUCCAUGUGCGUCAUUUACUUGCGUUCCCUUCCAGCUUAACUCCCUCCAUAUCCCUCGCCUCUGCACUUCGCCUUGCAGCACCGUUCCGUCGUUGCCUUCUUCCCCACAUCAUCAUCGUCGCCCCUCCACAGACGCCGGGAGACCGACUCGGCGAUGGAUCCUCCGCCCGCUCAGUCCAUGUCUGCGACCGACGACCUGCACGACAAGAGCCUCGACGGAUGCUGUUCUUGCUGCUACGACUGCUGCUCCAGCAUCCUGGACUUCCUGUGCUGCGCUUGAUGCUGCUGCUCCUCCUCCUGCCGUUCCCACGGCUUACGGCGGAAGCGCGCGGAGAUGCCUGACUUAUUUCGGAGUACUAAUAUAGUCAUUGGGUGAUAUAUUUUAUAUAGCCUGUAUGUAAUAAGGAGAUUUAUGGAUCAAGUGCUGUAAUGUGUUGACUUAUCUUCCGCUAAAGUAGUCGUGCAAUUUGGUCUGGGAAAUUUACCCAAAUUCUGUUUUG